UGGGUGGGCAUAUUACAGCGCUUUUGUGAGAAAGCGCUGUAAUAUGCCCACCCAUAUAUGAAAUUAUGGUUGGGCAUUUUACAACGCUUUUUUGAGAAAGCGCUGUAAUAUGCCCAACCAUAAUU
RNAcentral lists this small nucleolar RNA (125 nucleotides) under Cicer arietinum (chickpea). RNAcentral describes it as "Small nucleolar RNA SNORA69". It matches the Rfam family "Small nucleolar RNA SNORA69". Rfam says of the family: U69 is a member of the H/ACA class of small nucleolar RNAs (snoRNAs) which act as guides in the the modification of uridines to pseudouridines. The record is from Rfam by way of RNAcentral. Lineage: Eukaryota; Viridiplantae; Streptophyta; Magnoliopsida; Fabales; Fabaceae.